RNAcentral lists this ribosomal RNA (253 nucleotides) under uncultured bacterium. Its description in RNAcentral is "partial 16S ribosomal RNA". It matches the Rfam family "Bacterial small subunit ribosomal RNA", at positions 524 to 776 of the family's 1533-position model. The record is from RNAcentral.
UACGAAGGGGGCUAGCGUUGCUCGGAAUUACUGGGCGUAAAGCGCGUGUAGGCGGCUCUGCAAGUCGGAUGUGAAAUCCCACGGCUCAACCAUGGAAGUGCAUUCGAAACUGCAGGGCUAGAGUCCUGGAGAGGAAGGUGGAAUGCUUGGUGUAGAGGUGAAAUUCGUAGAUAUCAAGCGGAACACCGGUGGCGAAGGCGGCCUUCUGGACAGUGACUGACGCUGAGACGCGAAAGCGUGGGGAGCAAACAGG